AAAAAGACAAACCCUGGUUUCCGUGCCCAAUGUUUGACCGUCCGUCUUAUUUAAAAAAAAUUAUGAAAAAAAUUAAAAAGACAAGUCACGCAUAAAAUAUUAAUCAUGUUUUAUCAUCUAACAAAAAUAAAAAUACGAAUUAUAAAAAAAAUUCAUAUAAGACGGACAGUCAAAGUUGGACACGGAAACCCAGGGUUUGCCUUUUU
Oryza sativa Indica Group (long-grained rice) is the source of this 206-nucleotide microRNA precursor. It matches the Rfam family "MIR812 microRNA precursor family". The record is from Rfam. Lineage: Eukaryota; Viridiplantae; Streptophyta; Magnoliopsida; Poales; Poaceae.